This 92-nucleotide transfer RNA is filed under the name Armatimonadota bacterium. RNAcentral's name for it is "Armatimonadetes bacterium (oil production facility metagenome) tRNA-Ser". It matches the Rfam family "tRNA". Rfam says of the family: Transfer RNA (tRNA) molecules are approximately 80 nucleotides in length. The record is from RNAcentral. Lineage: Bacteria; Bacillati; Armatimonadota.
GGAGAGGUGGCCGAGCGGCUUAAGGCACCCGCCUGCUAAGCGGGUAGGGGGCAAAAGCUCCCUCGCGGGUUCGAAUCCCGCCCUCUCCGCCA